GAUGAAGAACGUAGCGAAAUGCGAUAAGUAGUGUGAAUUGCAGAAUUCAGUGAAUCAUCGAAUCUUUGAACGCACAUUGCGCCCCUUGGUAUUCCAUGGGGCAUGCCUGUUCGAGCGUCAUUUGUACUUUCAAGCUUUGCUUGGUGUUGGGUGUUUGUCCCGAGGGACUCGCCUUAAAGUAAUUGGCAGCCAGUGUUUGGUUUUGAAGCGCAGCACAAGUCGCGAUUCAAGGCUACACGCCCGCUUCCACAAGCCUUUUUUCACUUUUGACCUCGGAUCAGGUAGGGAUACCCGCUGAACUUAAGCAUAUCAAUAAGCGGAGGA
Molecule: unclassified non-coding RNA, 324 nt
Filed under: soil metagenome
Description: partial contains 5.8S ribosomal RNA, internal transcribed spacer 2, and large subunit ribosomal RNA
Rfam family: 5.8S ribosomal RNA (bases 1-120)
Source: RNAcentral